GAUGAUCCAAGCAAAUCACGCAUAGUUCACACUGAAACGAUCGUGUUGACAACCAUGCAUCUAAUGUCUUUCGCUCCUAUCUGA
Molecule: small nucleolar RNA, 84 nt
Filed under: Punctularia strigosozonata HHB-11173 SS5
Lineage: Eukaryota; Fungi; Basidiomycota; Agaricomycetes; Corticiales; Punctulariaceae
Description: Small nucleolar RNA snR60/Z15/Z230/Z193/J17
Rfam family: Small nucleolar RNA snR60/Z15/Z230/Z193/J17
About the family: The members of this family belong to the C/D class of snoRNAs which contain the C (UGAUGA) and D (CUGA) box motifs.
Source: Rfam by way of RNAcentral